This 73-nucleotide transfer RNA is filed under the name Cordylochernes scorpioides. RNAcentral describes it as "tRNA-Met". It matches the Rfam family "tRNA". From Rfam's summary of the family: Transfer RNA (tRNA) molecules are approximately 80 nucleotides in length. Their secondary structure includes four short double-helical elements and three loops (D, anti-codon, and T loops). Further hydrogen bonds mediate the characteristic L-shaped molecular structure. tRNAs have two regions of fundamental functional importance: the anti-codon, which is responsible for specific mRNA codon recognition, and the 3' end, to which the tRNAs corresponding amino acid is attached (by aminoacyl-tRNA synthetases). tRNAs cope with the degeneracy of the genetic code in two manners: having more than one tRNA (with a specific anti-codon) for a particular amino acid; and 'wobble' base-pairing, i.e. permitting non-standard base-pairing at the 3rd anti-codon position. The record is from RNAcentral. Lineage: Eukaryota; Metazoa; Arthropoda; Arachnida; Pseudoscorpiones; Chernetidae.
GCCUCGUUAGCGCAGUAUGUAGCGCGUCAGUCUCAUAAUCUGAAGGUCGUGGGUUCGAUCCUCACACGGGGCA